Molecule: long non-coding RNA, 14919 nt
Filed under: Ananas comosus (pineapple)
Lineage: Eukaryota; Viridiplantae; Streptophyta; Magnoliopsida; Poales; Bromeliaceae
Description: long non-coding RNA (ACOM_LNC003111)
Source: RNAcentral
UUAUUUAAAAGAAAAAUUGUCUAUAAUUUUGGACUAAAAGUUACCGAUAAAUAUUUCUCUCAAAAAUAAAAAGUUACCGAUAAAUAUGUAAAAGGUAAAUUGCACGUUUGUUUCUCAAACUAUGAGACUUGUGAUACUUUGAUUUCAAACUUUAAUUUAUUAUGAUUUUUAACGCGAACUUUCAGAAUUAUAUAUUGUCAUUAAGUGCCACAGCCUAAUUUAGGUAACUAAAUAUUAAUAUAUUGCUAAUAUAGAGGUGAUAUAACAGUACUGCAUGCGUUUAAUAAUACCUUAAUAAUUAAGAUGUCAUGUUACUUUAUAUCAAUAAUACGUUAAAAUUUAAUCAAUUAAAUUAGAUUGUAGAAUUUGAAUAUUGUAAUAAUUUUAAAAUUUCACGCUAUAAAUUACAAUAAAUUAAAGUUGGAGGCUAAAAUGUCAUCCGACUCUCAGGUAGCGUUUGGAUCAGGGAUAAGGGGAGGGAUAACCCCUUAUCCCCCCUUUAUCCAAACGCAAAUUUUUUACCCGAGAAUAGUAAUUUUCGGGUAUCCAAAAUAAGCUGGUAUAAUUAUUCCCACCAACACCUCAAUUUUCUAUAUAUAACUAUCUACUAUUUUUCUUAUUCCAUAUUAUCUAUCCAAAAGUUAUUUUUCUUAUCCCCUGAAACAACCCAAUUUUUAUCCAAAUACUAUUUUUUUUAUCUCCAUAUUUGUAUCUAUUCCUGUAAUAACUAGUUUUUUUUUAUAUCCGAACCAAACGAAGUCAUAGUUUGAUUACACUAUGAUAGAGCUUGAUAACAAUUGAUACUGUUUCAAAGAGAGAGAGAACAAAGCAGAGUCUUUAGAAAUACAAGUUAGCAAACAAAAUUAAAAAACCCAAAAAUUACAUAAAAUAGAGAAAGAUAAAGAUAGCAGUCCCUAGCUUUAAAAAAUUUAAAAAUAAAAAACAAGUCUAUAGGCCCCUAAACCUGUACAAACUAAUUAAUAGAUGACUCAAGUGCAUAGUAUAAAGCUCAAAAGAAAGAAAGAAACAGUUAGUGAGUAGUACUUAAAAAAUAAAAAAAUAACUACCUGUACACACACACACACACACACACACAUAUAGAGAGAGAGAGAGAGAGAGAGUCCGGCUAUGGUGCUUGUAAAAGCACAAAAUAUUUGGUGGUUGUAAAUUUUUUACCGUUAGAUUUACGCUUUUGAUCAUUUUUACCCGUUAAAUUAUACUAUUCAACCAACUAACCACUCAACUCUAGGGGGCCCACAUCAUCCUAACUACACAUUCCUUAAUCCAAGGACGGAAAACUUACAAGCACGAAAGACUUGGGUACUUCUAAAAACAUAUGAGCUCAAUUUUAUAUAUAUAUAUAUAUAUAUAUAUAUAUAUAUAUAUAUAUAUAUAUAUAUAUAUAUAUAUAUAUGAGAUAAGUAGCACACUACCCACUUCUAUAUAUAUAUAUAUAUAUAUCUUUUUGAGAGAUAAGUAGCACACUACCCGCUUCGUUUAUUUUAUCUAAAAAUAAACUUAGCUGAAAAUGUGAAGCAACUAGAUAUCGAAUUGGGAUCUCGGAUACCAACCACCAAGUCCUUCUUGAAUCUAAAGAACGGUCUUUGGAUGAGUUUGGUGUACAUUCUAUUCUUAGUCUAGGAAUUACAGAUAGCAUUGCUCUAUCUUAUAAGGAAAAUAAAAGGGAAAACUUCAAAAACCCCCCCUGUGGUUUCGUGCAUUCUCACUUUGCUACCCUGUUGUUUAAAACGUAUCAAUUUGCCCCCCUGUGGUUUCGUUUUUAUCUUUUUGUUAUCAAUUUUAUUAUUAUUAUUUUUUAAAAUCAGUGACAAAGUUAAAAUUAAAGGAUACUAAAGUGACUAUUUGAUAAAUAUAGAUGGUUAUCUGAAGUUUUUUGUAUAUAAUUUAACGAAAUAUUAACGAAAAAGCUUCCGAAAAAAUAAAAAUGAAACCACAGGGGGGUAAAUUGAUACGUUUUAAACCACAGGGUGGCAAAGUGAGAAUGCACGAAACCACAGGGGGGGUUUUUGAAGUUUUCCCAAAAUAAAAAAAUAAAAAAAGGCACAAAUUUCUUGUAUAUCUCGUAUAGGAGUGUACAUCUAAUCCUUCUUGAAUCUAAAGAAUUUACAAAAUCACUUUAGACUUUUAGGGCACAUUUGGUUUGAAGUCGGAAUUAAAAUCAGAAUCGGAAUCGAAAUAAGCUAUAAUCGGAAUUGGAAUGACUCAUUACCUAAUUCUGUUUAGUUCGUUACCUGAAUCGAAAUCGGAAUAAAUCAUUUCCAUUAUCAAUGUUUGGUUUAGAUAAAUAGAAAAAACGUAAUCAAAUUAAUAUGCUAACUUUAUCUUUAUAAUAUAUUAAUUUAAAUUCAAAUUUAUAAGUUAGAUUCAAAAUACUUGAUUAAGUUUUAAUUUUUAAUUCAAAUUCAAAUUAAAAUUUAAAAUUAUAAAUUUAAUUUCUAAAUUUAAACUCAUAUUUUAAUUUAAAAAGUUGAAAAAAUAAAUUUAAUCCAAAUAAAUAUCCAUUCCGUCCGGAUUCAACUUCCAAUCCGGCCUUCUAGGCCGGAUUGGAAAAAAAGGUAAUUGGGGAUUCCCAUUCCACUCGGGAAUCGAAAUCAGAAUGGGACUCUCACAUACCAAACACCCACAAACGAAUUCAUCUAUUCCGUUUUUGAUUUUAUGGUAAAAAAGAAGCGAACCAAACACGCCCUUGGUAUUAAAAAAUAAGUUGAUAUAAAAGAUAAGUAAAUCCUAAUUUUUUAAAUACUAUAAUGUAAGAUUCACACACACACACACACACAUAUAUAUAUAUAUAUAUAUAUAUAUAUAUAUAUAUAGAAUACGUAGGUGUACAGGCAUUGCUUUUAUUAUAAAGAGCAAUGCUAAGUGUAUACCUAGAUAGUUGGUCGAAGUUUGAGACCAUGACAUUUUUUAUGGUUAGAAUUAGACCACUAGUUUUAUCAACUUUUUUUUAACUAAAAUCUAAAGAAAUUUUCUCAAUCCCAGGAUGAAAAGGUACAAGAUGUUGUACACUCGUAUAUAAGGUGUACAUGUAGCAAUUUUCUAGAAUAAUAUUUUAGACUAAUAAUUAUCUAGAGCAAUGAUACCUAUAUACCUUCUAGACUAUAUUUAAGAUAGGGUUAUUUAUAUACACGUCCCUACAAAUAUAGUGAAUUACAGAAAUAUCCCUGCAAAACGAAAACUUCAUAAGUUGUCCCUACAAAAGUCUUAAGUUAUACAGAUAUGUUCCUAUCGUUAAGGACUGUUAGAAAAUUUUCGUUAACUACGGUUAAAAUACUUAACCAUGGUUAAUUAUAACGCGAAUUUACGGUUCUACCCUCCUUCUUCCUCCUCUUCUUCUUCCCUCUUCUUCGUCGCCGGCGAGGGAGAAGAUGCGGCGGCGGCCGCGAGCCCUCCCUCUCCCUCUUCCUCUUCCUCUCACUCUUCCUCUUUGCCCUUCUUCUUCCUCUUCCUCUAUCUCUUCCCUCUUCUUCGUCGCCGGCGAGGGAGGAGAUGCAGCGGCGGCGCGCGGCGGCGAACCCUUUCCCUCUUCAUCUUUCUCUUCCCUCUCCCUCUCCCUCAUCCUCUUCCAUUUUCUUCUUCCUCUCAUUCUUUCUCUUCCCUCUUCUUCGUCGUCGGCGAACCCGACCCCGCGCCGCUGCCGUCGUCUGCUCCGGCGGCCCAAAGAGGAAGAGAAAGAGAAGGGGAAGAAUGGUAUUUUGGAGGGAUAUAUUUAUGAGGGCAAAAUGGUCAUUUCACAAGAAAACUGUUAAAAAAUAAACAGUUCUCUAACGGAUGUUAACCAGAGAGACAUAUCUGCAUAAAUUAGGACUUUUGUAGGGACAACUUAUGAAGUUUUCGUUUUGUAGGAAUAUUUCCGCAAUUCACUAUAUUUGCAGGGACGUGUAUGCAAUUAACCCUUUAAGAUAUAUACCCAACUCAUCCUACGGCCUUUUUUCUCUCUCUAGUCUUAUUUUUUUAAAAAAAAUUAAAAUUUAUUUAAAAUUUGGUAAUUCUAAGAAUAAAAAAAUAUAAGAUUUAUACCUGUAUAUAAGCAUACAAAUAUCAUUUUUCUACGAACAAUGCUACUUGUAGACAUUUAUAAUCAUUAAGAAAUCUUUACAAUUAUCUGACUACAUGACCAAGUAGCUGGCUCUAUUGAUUUUUUUUUUCUUUUUUUAGAGAGAGAGAGAAAGAUAGCAUAAUAACUGUUUUGUUUAUUUUUUUUAAAUGAACUUAGCUAAAAAAAUAUAUAAAGUAACUAGACUUUUUACUUCUGAUCUCAAGUACAAAUCAUCAAAAUUUUAAUAGUUUUAAGUUGCUGAAUAUAAAAUAAACAAGAUAUAAAAAAAUAUUAAAUAUAAAAUAAGAGAAAUAUUAUUUUUUAAUAGUUAAUUUUAAGUCUCUGAAGAAGAGCAAUAGUUUCUCUUUCUCAGUCAAAUUAAUAGCGAUUCUCCGUACCAUCGAAAUGAGACAUCAAAACCUAGCUAGUAGUAGUAGGGCCCCAGUCUUGUUAAUUGUUGAGUGUGGAAACUUUUAUUGAUGAUGUCGGCAACGAGAAAUUAUUGCUUGAUCAACGUAGUCUACCCCAAUUUAUUCAUGAAGAACUGAAUUAUUCAUUGCUUCAUGUCAAAAUCGGAGCAUAUAUUCUUUUCUGGGAGACUAUAUUGUUUUUGAUUUACCACCACUAAUUAAGAUCUUUUCCUGGGCAGAUGUAAAACUAGCUAGGUCCAGACAAUAAUUUCUGAGUUUGGAAAUUACAAAAUAGUUGGUGCUUUCACUUUUUUAAUCCUGGGAACAACUCUUUGAUCAUUUCGAGCUCUUAGAUUAAUAUUAAUCGCCUAAGGGGUCCACUAGAUUAUAGGGAGGACCACUAUUAUUCUAAUAUUAUAAUUCUUGAUUUAAAGGCCGAAGAGUUAAAAAUACAAACCUAUUUUGUACUUCUGGAAGCAUAGUAUAUAGGUCUUCUACAUAAUUUUGUCGAAUCGUUGGCGCUAACCAUUAAUCCAAAAAACUCGAGCUGUUAGAAAUACGUAACCAAUUCAAUUAAAAUGUAUAGAUACAGCGCCCACGGGUCUCAAUUGUGACUCGGCCCAACAAGCCUCAUGCCAUUUUGAAUAUGACUUGGCCCACCCAGUCUCACGCCAUUUCAAACAUGACUUGGUCCAACAUAGUCUCCCGCCACAGGGCAUGAUGCUGGCCUAUUUAAGUCAACAAAUUUCUCAUUAAGAAAUAAGUUUAUUCUCCGAUGGAGGAAAAACAAAAACGAAAAAGAUAUUUUGAACAAUUAGGAUGUGUGAGACAUAUCUAGUGGAACUAAUCCAACCUAAUAAAUUUUCACUUUUGCAGGUGAAUUGAUUCUAUUAUAUUCCUUAAAAUCAAACUUUUUUGACUUCUUAAUUAGGUAAAAAUAUACAGAACUUAUCUAAAUUAUGAACUAUUAUGAAAUGACAAUCCAACCUUUCAAAUUUCGUGUCAAAACGACUCCGACUUGUUCCAAUACUCUCCAGACGUGUCGACAAGCCUCAGAUGCUAAAACCUCAAAGGCAACCAAACACUAAGGACAUUACAUCCUCCCCCACUACAAAAAGUUUCGUCCUCGAAACUUAAAAGCAUACCUCAAAGCUGAGCCUUGAACAAAUAGGGGUAAGACUCUUGCAUCACCAUCUUCGGCUCCCAAGUCGCCUCACGCUUCUCGUGAUUACUCCAAUGCACCUUUAUAUAAGGUAUGACUCGGUUGCGCAAUUCUUUCGUUUCACAAGUAAGAAUCCGCACCGGUCGUUCCUCAUAUCUCAAAUCCUUGCCAAGCUCCAGCGGAGUGAAGUCGAUCAUGUGUGAGGGGUCAAACACGUAUCUCCUCAACGCCGAGACGUAAAAUAUCAUGAAUACCGGCCAGUCAUGGGGGUAGAGAAAUCCUGUAGGCUACUGGUCCGACUCGCUCCAAUAUCUCGAAAGGGCCUACAAAUCGUGGACUGAACUUUUCACGAAUUCCGAAUUUGCUAUCCCUCAGGAUGGUGAGACUUUCAAAAAUACAUGAUCUCCAACUUGAAACUCCAAGUCUUGUCUACUGGUAUCAGCGUAGCUUCUCUGCCGACUCUGAGUAGUCUCAAGAUGUCGUCGUAUAACUCGGACCUUCUCUUCUGGCUCCAUCAGAAUCUCAGGUCCUAGAGUCUUCCUUUCACCCACAUCACUCCAAUGCAAAGGUGAUCGACACCUGCGUCCAUACAACGUUUCAAACGGAGCCAACUGAAUGUUCGCUUAAUAGCUGUUGUUAUAUGCAAACUCAACCAGUCUCAAAUGUCGAUGCCACCCUCCUCCAAAGUCUAGGACACAUGCUCUCAACAUGUCCUCCAAAGUCUGAAUGGUCCGCUCUGAUUGACCAUCUGUCUGUGGGUGAAAUGUUGUGCUGAAAUAUAGCUGUGUACCCAAGGUCGUCUGAAGGCUCCUCCAGAAAUGCGAGACAAACCUUGGGUCUCUGUCCGAUACUAUCGAGGUAGGCACACCAUACAGCCUCACAAUCUCAUCCAAGUACAACUGACCAAGUCUCUCUCUGGACCAGAUGGUUUGCAUUGGUAGGAAGUGAGCAGACUUGGUCAGCCUGUCCACUAUCACCCAAAUCGCAUCAAAACCACUCUGUGCUCUCGGUAAACCUACGAUAAAGUCCAUCGUGAUCUACUUCCAUUUUCACUCGGGCAUUGGCAGAUUCUGAAGCUUGCCAGUAGGUAUUCGAUGCUCAGCCUUCGUCUGUUGGCAAGUCAAACACAAAGCCACAAAUCUGCCAAUAUCUCUCUUCAUUUCACCAGAAGUGUACCUUCAAAUCCUUAUACAUAUUGGUUCCACCGGAGUGAACCGUAUAAGGUGAGUAAUAAGCCUCUCUCAAAAUCUCCUCUCGGAUUUCUGAAACCAUAGGCACAUAUAGUCGGUCCCUGUACCGCAGUACUCCCGAACUGUCCACAACAAAGGCCUCUGCCUAUUCCCUCUCUAACUGCUCUCGAAUCCUCAACAAAUGAGAGUCUCCACUCUGUUUCUUCCGGAUCCUGUCAAACAGAGUUGGCUGCAAGACCAUAGACAUCAAUCUCGCAGUAGACCUAGGGGACACUACCUCAUGCCUUAACCGCUGCAACUCCUCGAGUAACAGUCUCUGCGGAGUAAUCGUCAUGCUCAAGCUCUACACUGACUUCCUGCUCAACGCAUCUGCCACCACAUUCACCUUGCCGGGGUGAUACUGAAUGCUGAUAUCAUAAUCCUUCAACAAGUCCAGCCAUUGGCGUUGCCUCAGGUUCAACUCCUUUUGGAUGAACAGAUACUUGAGACUCUUAUGAUCAGUAAAAAUCUCACAGUGCUCACCGUACAGAUAGUGCCGCCACAACUUCAAAGCAAAAACCACCGCGGCAAGCUCCAAGUCAUGCGUAGGAUAAUUCUUCCCAUAAUCCUUCAGCUGCCGGAAAGCAUAAGCAAUUACCCUACAAUGCUGCAUCAGAACACAACCCAACCCGCUGUACGAUGCAUCACUAUAGAUUACAAAUCCUUCCCCCAUAACAGGAAGGGCAAGAAUAGGAGCCGACAUCAACCUCUGUCUCAACUCAUCGAAGCUCCUCUGACAAUCCUCACUCCAGACAAACUUAACUCCUUUCCGAGUCAACCGAGUGAGGGAUGUGGAAAGCUUCUCAAAGCUUUCUACAAACCGACGGUAAUAUCCAGCCAAGCCAAGGAAGCUCCUUACCUCGGUAACCGUCGUCGGUCUGGGCCAAUCCCAAAUAGCAUUAAUCUUCUUCGGGUCAACUGCCACUCUAGCUGCAAAAAUCACAUGGCCCAAGAAAGAAACCUCCCGAAGUCAAAACUCGCAUUUCUUCAACUUAGCAUACAACUUCUUCUCUCUCAGAAGCUGUAACACUAUCUUCAAGUGCUGCUCGUGCUUAACAUCACUCCAGGAGUGUAUCAGAAUAUCAUCAAUGAAUACAACCAUGAAUCUAUCCAAGAACGGCUUCAACACUCGGUUCAUCAAAUCCAUAAAUGCGGCAGGGGCAUUCGUCAAUCCAAAAGGCAUCAUUGUGAACUCAUAAUGCUCGUACCGAGUUCGAAAAGCCGUCUUGAGAACAUCCUUGGCCCUCACCCUCAACUCGUGGUAACCUGACUGGAGAUCAAUCUUCGAAAAGGCACAAAAUUCUUACAGCUGAUCAAACAAAUCAUCAAUGCACGACAAAUGAUACUUGUUCUUGAUGGUCACUUUAUUCAACUCCCGAUAAUUCACACACAGUCUAAGUGAACCAUCAUUCUUCUUCACGAAUAACACCGGCGCUCCCCAAGGCGAUAUACUGGGUCUCACAUACCCCUUAUCAACCAAAUCCUAAAACUACGCCUUUUAACUCUCUCAGCUCUGCCGGUGCCAUUUGGUAGGGUGCCUUCGAGAUUGGCGCAGUUCCAGGAACUACGUGAAUCACGAACUCAAUCUCUCUAUACGGCGGUAUAGUCGUCAACUCCGGAAAAAAAACAUCCGAAAACUCGCGGGCUAUAAGGAUAUCCUCGAGUCCCGGCGCUGCCAUAAGCACCUCUACUACAGUCGCCAAUAAAGCGAUACAUCCUCUACUCAAUAGCUGCCUAGCCCUCGCAGACGAGAUCCAAGUGGCAAACAACGUACUCUUGCAGCCCCUGUACGUGAACUCCUCCUGGUCUGGCUCGCGGAACGUCACCGUCCUCACUCCACAGUCGAUCGUAGCAUAAUACCGCGCUAGCCAAUCCAUGCCAAGCACCACAUCAAAGUCCUGCAACUGCCUCAAGACCAACAAGUCUGCAGGCAUAAUCCAUGAGCCCAACUGUACCGGACACAACCAACAGCACUCUGCUACCUACAAAAUAUGGUCGAAAAUCUGCAACUCUCGGGCAUGCAACAACGGCCCUAGCUCUAGACCAUGUAAUGAUGUAAAUGCUCGGCUAACAAAAGAAUGUGAUGCACCGAUAUCAAAUAAAGUACGAGCUCUACUACCAGAAAUCAAAAUGAUACCUGCCACCACCCGAUCGGCUGUUGUAGAGUCCUCCACCUGGGCUGCAUACACCCUAGCACUCGAGGCCUGCUGUUGCCGCUCACUCUGUCACGGCACUGACACUCUGUCAUCCUGACGAUAGCUGACACUCUGUCAUCCUGACGAUAGCUCGGCGACGCUCCAUAGGUCUGCUGGGGUGCCGGCGGUGCUGAUGCCGUCGAAGGUGCUGGUGAUGCUGCUCGGGGACAGGCUGCCUGCAAAUGCCCUGGCUGUCCACAAAUAUAACACCUGCCUUCCCUCUGCUCACAUGGCUGAGGCCGUGCGGUCCCCCACAAAUCACACACUACUGAGCACUCUGCUACUGUCUCUGCUAACGAGGUCCCCUAGAACGCUGUCGCCUCGAAGACCCACGACCCUGAGAGCGUGAUCGUAGAGGCCUCGGCGGACGCCUGCUAUUAGACUGUCCUCCAUCAUCAGGGACCGGGCGCUUCCUAUCCUGACUCUACUCCGGUACCAAUGCCCGCUCCCGGACUAAUACAGCUCCCCUCUCUACCCAAAGUGCCUACUCAAUUGACACAUCUAAGGUCCUCAGCCUCUGCGCUUGAACCAGAACAAAGAUCUCUGGCCUCAAACCUCGCUCAUACAGAUACACCUUGUGGGCUUCAUCCCUGGCUACGAACGGUACACAGUUCAGAAGCCAUGUAAACUCACGAGUAUACUCCUGAACUGACCGCUCCCCUUGCUGUAGCUUCUUCAGGUCCUCCUCGAGUUUUUGCUUCACGUUGUUUGGGAAAUAGGCCAGUACAGCAAUCCACAAAACUCGUCCCACCUCAUCUGUAGAGCAACCAAUCCACGAGUCUACCUCAUCCUCCUCCACCAAGCGUAGGCAUCACCUGCCAAACAGUGAACAGCUAGAUGUAUCUGCUCUCGUUCUGGUAUAAACAAAUCCUCAAAUAGCUUCUCCAUCGCACUCACCCAGCCCUCUACAACCCAGGGCUCCAUGCAACUGCCAUUGAAGUGUAGCGGAUCAAACCGACAGAAGCGAGCAAGCCUCUCGGUCAUCUGCUCCUGCUCAGCCUCGGACAUCUGUGACACUUCUCUGGAAGGUACAACUGGUACGGUAGAAGCUGCUACUGGUGGAGGUACAGCUAUGGCUGGUGCAGCCACUGGAGUAGUCUGAGGUGGCACCUGCUGCUCUGGUGCUCUGGGCGUUGUACUCAGCAGCUGAGUAAAAGUCUCACACAUCCUCCGUAAUAAUGCCCCCUGCUGCCUGGCCACCUCAGUUAGGGCAGCCAACUGCUCUCUCAGAUCAGGGGGUGCACUCGGCCCUGCCUGCUCAGGCAUCUCUGAUGGCGCGUCACGAUCUCGCGUCGGCGGUCGACCUCUACGUCGAUACAUGGCUACCCGAAACCAAAAUAAUGGUCAGAUACAAAACACACCCAACUCUCGACUCAAUCAAGCGAAAGUCUAGAAGACCUCCUAAAAAUUAUGCCGUCUGCAGCCGACAUAAUUUUAAUUCGCUGAAACAGACACUCCUUCAGUCACUCACUCUACUCUUGGAAGAGUUAAAAUAAUACAAUCGCCGACUUUCGCGAUAAGUCACGCCUCUCGCGUCCAGAUCUCCUGAAGUUUGCCAAACUUAGGGUUCCUAGGUCCCAACGACCUAAUUCUAAGAUCUGAUACCAACUUAAUCUGUCACGCCCCGGAUUACCACGUUUCUCCGGACACGCCAACAGAUCCGCCGUAUAUAUAGAAAUUUUUUCUGUAUACGAAGUGGUAGCUGUACCUGUAAAAAAAACCAAGCUACAACUAUAAGGUAAAGUGCUGUUAAACUGAAAAUAACACACACACCACACACACACACAUACACACACACACACACACACACAAACACACACACACACACACACACACACACACACACACACACACACACACACACACACACAUAUAUAUAUAUAUAUAUAUAUAUAUAUAUAUAUAUAUAUAUAUAUAUAUAUAAACUUCGAGGGGUUCCUGUAUAUACAAAAUGUCUACUAUACCACUCGCUCCCGCGAAUAUCCUGAAAACGUGACCAUAUGUACAAAAGAACCCAAAACUACAUGUGGAAGGUACUCCUCUAGCACAUCAACCAGGGAAGGGAUGGCUCUAACUCACGACUCCCUUGCCUCGGUCGGAUUCCACAACAGCAGCAGCCGCGGACGAAGGCUCUACAAAAAGGUGUCAACAACUGGGUGUGAGAACUACUACAAAUAGAGUAGUCCUCAGUGGGUACCGUCACCGACCUCAACGGCUCACUCUCUAAGUCUACAGAAAAAUAUGCAAGAGAUAGUAAGGAAAGCUGGAAACCCUACAACUUUAUGCCACUAUACUAUCGCUAACCAACACUGGCUAUCUGUAGAUAUAGAAAAAAUACAAUCACUUACCCAAUCUCACUGGGGAUGGCGAUAUGCGUAUCUCGCCUGUCUAAGCUACACCGAACACCACCCCGAGGGCUGCAGGUAGAGAGCGAAGUCCUAACCAGACUACUACGACAUCAAUGCAGCGCAACGUAGCCAGACUCCGGAGCGGCACUCGUGGGCGCGGCUCAUCCGAGUAUGCGAGCGUGUCUCUGCUGAGCUCAAUCAGGCUCUCACAGCCUAUAGUCAAAGCAACAUGGUCAUACUGGUCUAACAACCAAAGCUUUCGUGCCCUUGACACAAUUUGAUGCAAGAUAUAAAAAUCUGGGUUCACCGUCAACCGCGACGGCACCUGACAGUACGUAACAGUCUACACACUACUGUAAAACGAGCUCGGCAUCCCAGCACGAGCGUAAACUCAUCCUACACUAAUCUGGGCAUCCACCGCAUACUAACAGCGACGAUACAAAAGAAUCACAGCUCCUAAAGCUAAAUCUGGUAAUUUUCAGAAAAGUGACGAUGAAGGAUUUAGAGUGUUUUCUCCUAUAUCAAUUCCAAGUCCAACAUGUAUACAAACACUAGCUCAACUCCAAAUUCAGAUUUAAUACUUUAACAUACAAUUUUCAUGAAUUCAAGUGCUAGCAAACAGAAACCAAACCGACGAACAUGCUGACGGUGCUAAGGAUUAGGAGGUAAUUCGAUGAUUUCGGUAAACAUUAAUCUACUUCAAAUGCUUGUCCAACCACGGCGAGAAGUCGAAAGGAGGGAAUCCACGCGCUCGCCCGACCUCCAACGGCACAACCGUGACGCACACACGCUCGAACGGCCCUCCGGAUCAACGUCGAAAACCCCCCGAGCUCGAGCCGCGACCUCCUCCAUGUACAGUAUCCACAAGCUAGAGAGAGAGAAAUGAGAAUUAAAACCCCUGCCCUACAACUCUCUCUAUGAAUAUAAAGGUUGGGAGGAACAUUGGGUUGAACGACCAAUCAAAAGACCAAACUACCCCUUACCUACUCAAAGAUCCAGCUAGAGUACCGGUACUCCACUUGAAUACCGGUACUCGGGUCUUCAGCCCGCAGCUUCGCACACUGGGUACUGGUACCAGCCCGAUGUAGUACCGGUACCCGAGCUCGAUACCGGUACUCGAUAGGUUAGUACCGGUAGUCAGCAUCUCCUCACGCAAACUCGAGAGCUCUCAUCUCUGCCAUCCAGCAGGGGUACCGGUACUCCUCUCAGGUACCGGUACUCAACACUGAACUCCUGCACUUUGUGGAUUUCAGUGUCAGAUUUCUGCUUUCGUAUCGUCCUGAGUCCGUUUUGCGUCCAUUUCACGCCAAAACAACUCCGACUUGUUCCGACACUCUCCAGACAUGUCGACAAACCUCAGAUGCGGAAACCUCAAAGGCAGUCAAACACCAGGGAUACUACACGAAAGUACUUUAACUUUAAAAUUUGAAUGUGUCGUUUAUCAUUACAAGUUUAGUUAGUAUACUUCAUAUUAUUCAUGCAACUAUAAAUUCAUUAAAAUAAAAAAAUAGUUUAAAAUUCAAAAUCAAAUUGCUCCUUACUGAGUCAAAUCAAACAAAUUUAAAGAUUGGGGAGUAUAAUCAAUCUUGUUGGAUUUGAAUUAGCAAACAACACUUUUACUUCAAAUUUGAAAAGAUCAUUUAUUUUUAUAAGUUCAGUUAGUAUACUUCAUAUAAUUCAUACAACUAUAAAUUUAUUAAAGUAAAAAAAUAGCUUUAAUUUUGAAAUUAGAGUACUGUUGGUUGUCUUAGAUCAAACAAAUUAAAAAAUUGUAUAGUAAAAUCAAAAUUUUUAAAAGAUUAGAUAGUAAAUUCAAGAUGACCAAUAAUCCAGGUAAGUUCCGUUCGUUUUAAACUCUCCUAAGUAUCGUAGAGAGACACUUUUGGCUCUCAUCCAAUGCAUGUUCUUAAGCUUCUUUUGAGUCACGGCAAACUCACUUAUCAGAAUCUAUGCACGAUGCUAGUUAACUCGUGGGCUCGUGGCUCUACAACCCUACUAUUUUGAGUGCACCAACUAUUUGAAUCCGUACUCCUAAGCUGCACCUGUUAAACCCAACUAUUUUUGAAUAUAUAUCAAAUAUCAUGCCACGUUAUAAUAACUCUUCGCAAUCUCAUCAUGUUCAUAAGAGUUAUAACCUGGUUGCAUCACACCACUUAAAUGAAUAACCCAAAAUCGCCAAACCUUUUGUUCGGUAGUUAUUUGGUAGUAGCCCAAACCCACAUAGAUUUGAGGAUAUAACAUAUCUAAAAAUUGAUCAAACCUAAAAACUUAAACCAGGCCUUUUUUUCUUUUCUUUUUUUUUUGGAGAGAUAUGUAGUAUGCUAUUUGUUUUGUUUAUCUCAUUUAGAAAUAAAUUUACCUGAAAAUGUGAAUCAACUAGGAUUCGAAUUUGGGACAUCGGGUACGAACCACCAAAUCCUUUGCCACUUGUGUUGGGGAUGGUUGAUAACCGGGCCUUUUAGUGUGUGUGUGCAUGUCUCUAUAUAUAUAUAUAUAUAUAUAGAGAGAGAGAGAGAGAGAGAGAGAGAGAGAGAGAGAGAGAGAGAGAGAGAGCCAGUCACCUAUACUAUCUAUAGUAUCAGGACUUUGGUACUAUAGUCUCGUUUCGAUCUUAGGGUGUUCAAAUCAACGAUCCACACCGUUAAAAUUGAUCUAGCAUAUUUAAAGUUUUUAGAGAUAAAAUUUUAUAUUUUUUCGACAUAGUUUAUUUUAUGAUCAAACUAUUUCAAAAUUGUCAAUUUUCAAUGGCUAUUAUGGCUAGUUUGGAGUUAACGGUGUAGAAGAAUCUAAAUUUCUUCAAAUUUUGAUAGAAAAUACUUUAAACUAUCUAGAUUAAGGUCAACAUUCUUGAUCUUGAAUUUAAAAGUCCUAUAAUCAAAUUUUAAAGAUUAUUCAAUUUUCACCGUCCAUUUUGACAUAAUUUAUUUACUAAGUAAACGAUGUCGAAAAAAAACUAAAAUUUUAUUCAUAAAAACUUCAUAUACCCUAUAUUAUAUUUAAUGGUAUGUAUCGUUAAUUUGAACACUCUAAGAUUGAAAAUAAGAUUAGAGUAUUGGAGCUCCGGUAAUAUAGAUAGUAUAGCAGUCAAUUUCUCUUCCUUUUGAAUUUCUCUCAAAUUUCUCUUUUCUCUCUUAUCCUAACCAUCCAUCAAAAUUGAUGGGCGGUUAAAGAAUUAGGAGCACAAAGGCUGCUGUGCUCCUAAUAGCAUAGUAGCCCUGCUAUAUAUAUAUAUAUAUAUAUAUAUAUAUAUAUAUAGUUGAGCUAGAAUACUAUCGAUAGCAAACGGGCUCCGUUGUCACCCAUUUAUUUUCGAUGAUGGAGCGUUCAAAUCGAUGAUCGGCACCAUUGAACAUGAUCUAUACCACUUGAAGUGUUUAGAAAUCAAAUUUCAUAUAUUUUCGAUAUUGUUCUCUUAUCCAUUUAUUGUUCUCUCCUCCAUUGAAUAGAAAUCAAAUUUCAUAUAUCUUUUUCUUUUGAAUUAGAUGGAAGAAUAUUAAUGAAAUUAGAAUAUGAGU